GGCUAGGUGUCUAGGAGCAGACACGCCUCUCUGCUUCUCUGCGUGUAUUUGGCACCCUCUUGUGGCAACUGCGAGCAGACACCACUGAGAGACGCGAGUGAGAGGGAAACCAGAGCAGGCUCAGGGCAAACACAUUUGGAAACAGAGCUCCGGAUGAAAUGGCCUGCCCUACUGUGGAAAAUUCCUGCAACUCGGAACGCCCAUGUAUGAAAGUUGCUGCGGUCUUGUCCUGAGAAGAAUCUUCUUUAUUGUCGUGCUGAACCAACUUCAAUUACACACACCCUGAGCCGGACUGUCAAGAAAACCACAUGGGAUAUGGAGUGUCUGCAUGAUGGUGGUUUAGCUACUCAUCCCUGUCAUGGCUUAAGGAAUCAAGGUCUAAGAACCAGCUGGGACUCUGCAAUCUGUAACUGGAGGACACAAGGGACACCUAUGAUUUGGGUAAUG
Molecule: long non-coding RNA, 447 nt
Filed under: Meriones unguiculatus (Mongolian gerbil)
Lineage: Eukaryota; Metazoa; Chordata; Mammalia; Rodentia; Muridae
Description: lncRNA (ENSMUGG00000015306.1)
Source: RNAcentral